UUUCCACAAACGAUAUCCUCAACAACCGGCCUUGACAUAGCAAUGGACAAUAAGUAGAUCGGAUUCUUUCAAAGUACAAUAAUAUUGUUGCACAGUGCUUAAUUUUAUAUCGUUAGGUAAUCAUUUGGUGAUGGCAUGAAGCCACUAGCUACGCUAGUUACAAAAAUCUUGGACUGAAGAACUGAACCCCACUCCAUUACACUGUGACCAGAAAAGGAAAAGCAAACGCGAUUAUUGAUGCUCAUUCUACAAGCCCAAACUCAUCUAAGACAUGGUCACGUGAAUGCCAAACACAACUGUAGCAGGCGCAGAACGUAAGCCGUACCAUGCAUCUGGUUAGACAGCCGGAGGAGACANN
This 358-nucleotide long non-coding RNA is filed under the name Hordeum vulgare. RNAcentral describes it as "long non-coding RNA (HVUL_LNC013789)". Lineage: Eukaryota; Viridiplantae; Streptophyta; Magnoliopsida; Poales; Poaceae. The record is from RNAcentral.